AGAGUUUGAUCCUGGCUCAGAACAAACGCUGGCGGCGUGCCUAACACAUGCAAGUCGUACGAGAAGGUCCGCUUCGGUGGAUGAGUAAAGUGGCGCACGGGUGAGUAACGCGUGGAUAAUCUACCCUUUAGUCUGGAAUAACUUAUCGAAAGGUGAACUAAUACCGGAUAAUAUCCCGAUUUCUUCGGCGAUCGGGAUCAAAGAAGGCCUCUGCUUGCAAGCUUUCACUGAAGGAUGAGUCCGCGUACCAUUAGCUAGUUGGCAGGGUAAUGGCCUACCAAGGUUAUGAUGGUUAGCUGGUCUGAGAGGAUGAUCAGCCACACUGGAACUGAAACACGGUCCAGACUCCUACGGGAGGCAGCAGUGAGGAAUAUUGCGCAAUGGGGGCAACCCUGACGCAGCAACGCCGCGUGAGUGAGGAAGGUUUUCGGAUUGUAAAGCUCUGUCGAGCGGAAAGAAGUGCAUGGUGGUUAAUAUCCAUCAUGCUUGACGGUACCGCUAAAGGAAGCACCGGCUAACUCCGUGCCAGCAGCCGCGGUAAUACGGGGGGUGCAAGCGUUGUUCGGAAUCAUUGGGCGUAAAGCGCGUGUAGGCGGCUGGACAAGUCAGAUGUGAAAGCCCUGGGCUUAACCCAGGAAGUGCAUUUGAAACUGUUCAGCUAGAGUAAGGGAGAGGAAAGUGGAAUUCCUGGUGUAGAGGUGAAAUUCGUAGAUAUCAGGAGGAACACCGGUGGCGAAGGCGACUUUCUGGCCCUAUACUGACGCUGAGACGCGAAAGCGUGGGUAGCAAACAGGAUUAGAUACCCUGGUAGUCCACGCUGUAAACGAUGUUCACUAGGUGUUGGGGGUUAUUGACCCCUUCCAGUGCCGCACCUAACGCAUUAAGUGAACCGCCUGGGAGUACGUCGCAAGAUUAAACUCAAAGGAAUUGACGG
RNAcentral lists this ribosomal RNA (934 nucleotides) under methanogenic prokaryote enrichment culture B19_1. RNAcentral describes it as "bacterial SSU rRNA". It matches the Rfam family "Bacterial small subunit ribosomal RNA", at positions 8 to 916 of the family's 1533-position model. The record is from RNAcentral.